RNAcentral lists this ribosomal RNA (255 nucleotides) under Enterococcus hirae. RNAcentral describes it as "partial 23S ribosomal RNA". It matches the Rfam family "Bacterial large subunit ribosomal RNA", at positions 1982 to 2236 of the family's 2925-position model. Lineage: Bacteria; Bacillati; Bacillota; Bacilli; Lactobacillales; Enterococcaceae. The record is from RNAcentral.
UCCGACCCGCACGAAAGGCGUAACGAUUUGGGCACUGUCUCAACGAGAGACUCGGUGAAAUUUUAGUACCUGUGAAGAUGCAGGUUACCCGCGACAGGACGGAAAGACCCCAUGGAGCUUUACUGUAGUUUGAUAUUGAGUGUCUGUACCGCAUGUACAGGAUAGGUAGGAGCCGUAGAAAUCGGAACGCUAGUUUCGAUGGAGGCGCUGGUGGGAUACUACCCCUGCGUUAUGGCCACUCUAACCCGCACCACU